Long non-coding RNA from Sapajus apella (tufted capuchin), 5224 nucleotides. RefSeq lists it as uncharacterized. Lineage: Eukaryota; Metazoa; Chordata; Mammalia; Primates; Cebidae. The transcript is spliced from 2 exons. The record is from RefSeq and is a predicted model, not a curated record.
GGUUUAUGUAAGGCUUUUGAGUUGCUUAAGCGUUUUAACUCCUCCUGCGGGCCCCCUUGGAAGCCCCAGUGCCCUCUCAUUGUCUGCUCUAAGCGACUUCUUAGGAUCGCACCGGCCACACGGCUUUGAUUACUUCCUGGUAGGGCCCUGGUGCCACCGCUAGUCUUUGUUUAUUAGCUUUGAGAUGAUCGCUGGUAGCUUGGGUUAUAUUAAUAGUGUACAAUUCGAAUUGUUCACUUCAAAAAUCUUAAGUUCAUUUGAAAUGUAGAAAAACGGCGAUGAUAUGAUUUAGCUGUGACAUGUCUCAUGGGCCGGAGCUGGGAAGAUAGUUUAAAGAAUGCCUUAACAGUUUUGACAGCUUCUUAAAUAGUGAUUAUGUCCUUGGAAAAAACAUUGGUAGGUCCACAAAGAAAAAUAUACUCUGGGAUAAGGAAUAGAAAUAACUGCGGUUUCCUGGCGCGCUCAGACAUCUGAUGCUUUGCUUACCUUUGUAAAGUCAGAUAUCUUUUUCUGCAUGAAGCCUUUAAAAAUUAACCGGUUAAUUGGUUUCACAGAGUAGUAUUGCAGUUCUUUUGUGAGGAUGCAGAAGCUUGUGUAAAUUACCUUUUACCUAUAAAUCUGUUGGAAUGUUGAGUAUGGAACAACAAAUAGGGUGUAUGGCACUACUUUACAGAUUGGUUGGUGGUGGUACAUUAGCUAUAACUAGCUAUUGGUGUGGUGCUAUAAUUGUAACUUAACUUUUUUUCCCCAAAAGAAAUUUGAAAACAAAAAAAGGACCAAAGUUAACGCUAGGAAAAGCGUACCUCAGGGAAUGGUUGGAUUACUCUUGCACAUCUGUAGUAAACUACAGAAAGACAAAAUGGACAAUUAGUACACUUCUGGUAUUUUCUGGGUGAAAUCACAUCAGACUUAAAAAUGGCUUCACUGGGCACAUCAAUCUAAAAAAAAGAAAAUAAUUGUGCAGGUGGCAGAUACCCUCUUGUGAGUCAGUCUUGACUCUAUCAGUCAGGGAGUCCGCUUGACUGUAAAAGAGAUACAGGAAAUUGAGCAUCUCUUGAGGAACUUAAUAAGUUAAAGUGGAGCAUAAGGAGAUGUGCUGAUAACAAGAAUGAACUAGUAUGUUUAGCCAUAAGGGAGGAGUGAUUUCUGUCCAAGGAGUAAGAUGGCAUCUUUGCGUCUUGCAACAAAGUGUUCCUGACAAAGAUUUACACGCCUGGUUGUAGUCACUUGCUUAGAUUUGUAGAACCAAUAAAGCUAGUUUGGCAACUUUGUGUGAGUCCACAAUCUGAACUGAACCCAUUUCAUGCGGGUUCAACCCAUUUGAUAUAAUCUAGCAUUAUUGUAUUAAGCUUGAUCUUGUGUGCCUGUUGUUUCAGUGACUAAAUGAUCAGCAAAUCUGUGAGUCCUUAACUAACUCGUUAUCUUGGAGCGUUAUAUAGUCUGGUGUUUUUUUCGCCCAUACUCUUUAUUGUAUUUUAUUGCUUUUGGUAGGGGACCAAAAGGGUAGCUGAGGUGUUGAAUAAUACUGUGACUGGGUGUCAAAUCUGAUUACGUUCUUAUUAAGGAGGGGAAAAUCCCUGUUUUGGCACUGGGACAAUAAAAGUAAUGCCCUUGCUUUAUUUUCUUUGGGAGUUUGCAGUUAUAACACAGCAAGACAGCCAAGCAAAUUGCAAAAUCCCAUAACAUUCUGGGUUCCAUCAGUUAGCAGUACCUAACUGGACAAAUAGUUCUAUUUUCUUUGAGUAUCAGUUUCCUUAUAUAACCUGUAAAAAAGGAUACUUUGCAUUUACUUCACAGGUGGCUGUUACGAUGAACAUGGUAAUUUUUUGUGAAAACUUUGUGAAACUUGUAUACACUAUUCAAGUAAUAGGUGGUAUUAGAGGUCAGAACAUCUUUAUAAAGAGGACUCUGAAUAAUUAAAUAUCCAAAGCCCAUUAAAUGGGGACUAGAACAGACUGGCUUUAUGCUGAAUGAUGCUUUACAGGGAGAUACAGAACUGAACAAGAUUACUAGAAGUAAGAAGUAAUUUUACUUCAGAAUUAACAUGAGCUUCUUAUCCGUGGAAAGCACUGUGUGUUAGGUUAUAUAAUUGUGUAUUACAGCAGUUCUUACACUUUUUGUUUUUAGGACCCCUUUAGAGUCUUAAAAAUUGUUGAGCACUCAAAGAGCCUUUAUGUAGCCUGUAUCCGUUGAUAUUUGUCACAUUAGAAAUUAAAGCUGAGAAAACCUUAAAUAUGUAUUCAUUAAUAGGUUUACAAAUAAUAAUAGACCCACUACCUAUAACAUAAAUUGACAGCUUAUGUAAAAUGUUUUUCAGAACAAAAAUUUAGUGGGAAGAGUAGCAUUAUUUUACAUUUUUGUAACUCUUUGUUCAGCUUUAUAGAAGACAACUGGAUGCUUACAUUGCUUCUGCAUUCAGUCUCUUGAAGAUAAAUCCAUGUUGUGGUUUAAGGUAAAUGUUGAAGAAUAGCAAUCUCCUAAUAACGUAAAGGCUGAUUUAUGUCUAAUUGUUGCUUAAGGGAUUCUAAUUUUAAAUGAAAAAGUUUUAAAUAAAAGCUAGGACAUUCUCUCAAGCAUUUUGUUAUGUGCACACAUCAGAUGUUAUUUUCAGAAGCUGGAGGCUUGGGCAGUCCUUAUUUUUGUGGGUAAAAGAAUUUAACCAGUGGGAAAAAGCACAAAUUGUUUUAAAAAGAUGCCCUGAAUACAAGUGUUUGAAUAACUAAGGAAAGGCAAAGACCAAGCAUUUGAACUGAAGGGCUUGGGUUAAACAGACAGUUAAAUUAGAGAGAUUUAGUAGGGUAGGCAUGAUAAUUUUUCUCUGAUUAAUUCUUCAACGAGUUGAGAGUGCCUCUUUAAGUUUUCAGUACACACUUGCCUCAUAUUACUGUACCCAAGAAAAAGUAAUUGUAGAUCAAGUAAACGUUAUGCAAUUUUGGGUGGAUACUAGUGAUAAACUCUUUUUUAAGGGAUCCCUUCAGUAAGAUGAGGUGCUGAUUAUUGGUUGUCAGUGGUAAUAAAUUUGUAAUGGACUGAUCAGGUUGUGAUAAAGGUAAGAAAUUACCUUGAUGGAGUGAUGAGUUAUUUUGUAUCGUAUUUCUCCCCAACCUACAUUUAACACUCUUGUUUGCCCAGUAGACUAAAUUUUCUAAAUAUAGGCAGUCAUUUGGUUGUCAUUAGGUCAAAGGCAUUUACUGCUUUUUAGUAACAUUCUAUGAUGUAUUUAUUAAGUGUCUAACACUUAAUAGGUCAAUAAGUAAAUAUUUGCCUACUAAAUAAAGGAAUUUUCACUUAGAUGUGACUGGAAGGGUCUUUAUGUUGAAAAUAAAUGCAGAGUAAGUGGGCUUUCCCCCAGAAUGCUUUUACUGGCCUGCACUCCCAGUGUAGGCUGGAUUGUGAGCAAAUGACCAUUUGCAGUGUUGUUAUCACAAUGAAUUUGUAUUCUUUUGGUAGUCCGUAUCUAUAGAUGGGCAGGUGGACAAUUUAGUUGUAAAUGCAGAUAUGAUAGUUAAAAAUCAGUGGACAGGUGAUACUUUUUUCACAUUAAUUCUAACAUUUAGUAUUUGAGUUAUAUAUAUCCUUCUGAAGAAUUUAAACUUUGUUGGUAAUAUUUAUAAAGCUGAAGUCAAAUGUCUUUCUAGUCUUUCUGCAAUAUUCCUCCCCCACCCUGUCUCCCAGAAUCUUAAAGCAGUCUCAGCUUAUUUCCAGAGUCUCUAAAUGAUUGGUCAUGGAUGUGAAAUGUGUGAAAUUCAGAAUGUGCUCCAUGUUAUGUGUUUUGUUUAAAGAGGCUGCAGUAUAGAGAUUGAGCUUAACACUUCCUUGUUGUGAAGAAGUUUUGACACACUGAUCAGAAGUUAUUUUCCUAGUAACAUGCUUAAUCGUGCGUAAAGAACAUCCUUCAUGGUCUAAGCAGAAGAAAUGAUGGAGUUGGGGGAAGAACUCUAACUCUUUGGUGUGGUUUCCUGUUAUUUAUCCCCAAAAUAAUUUCAUCUCUUCAUUCUUUGCUUGUACACCAUUAGCCUUAGGCUCGUUUAACAGCCUCCUUUUUCCUCAUUGAAAUUGAUGUAAUUUCCUUCUCCACUGGAAUAUAAAAGAUUGAUUUUGGGUUCUUCAAGCUAGGUUUAGAAAUACUUAUGUUUUAUAGAGUUUGCAGCUCAGUGAGUAGACCAAUGAGCAAUUUACUGUGUAGCUCAGUGAGUAAUUUAAAUUCCUGUUUUAAAAUUUGAGUCCCUCUUCCAUCAGGGACUAAUUUACAUGUACAUUAUUUCCCCUAACCUAACCAGCUCUGUUUUUUUUUUUUCUUCUUUUUGAGCUUUUCUCCCCUUCCUGACCUUGUUUUUUUUUAUAUUUUUUCUUCUUUGAAAACAAAACGUUAGUCUCCUUUGACUAAGCUGCAGUUUCUGACCUACAUACAUACAGGUUUGUGUUCAACCAAGGCACUGAAAUAGAUUUAGUAGGUAGAUAUCAGUGUUUGAAGUGGAAAAGGUAUGCUGUUUAAUGUAUUUUGAUAUUUUAUGUUUAUUCAUAGCCUCUUUAGACAGGAGAACAAUUGCAUUCUAGGUGUUUUUAAUAGAGCUUUCCUGGACAGAUGGCUUGGAAGGAAGUACUUUGAUGGAUUCUCAGUAGGGGCUAGUACUUUUUGGAGGGUGUAUUUAUGAUUAAGCUUACCUUGAUUGACAAUUUAGAAUGCUGAGAAUAGCAUUAAGGACAGUAACAGCUUGUUGGUCUUACCUAGAAUUGUCUUGUGCCAAGACCUCUCAAGAUACACUGAGAUUUCUGUGUAGUGGUCUGUUUUGAGAAUGUAGGUAAGCCUAGGCAUCCUUGAGACUGAAAAGAAAUUCACCUAAAAUUGAUCAUUCAAUUGUAUCUUAAAAUCUUUGGGGUUUUUGAAUGAACUUUGGCUUAGAAAUUUGUAGAGAUCAUCUUUUUAACUGCUGUGAGUCUGCAGAUGUGAUUAUCUAUAGUAAUUCCAGAUGUUUUCUCAUCUGUUUUACUGAGUAGGAGUAUAACUGAGAACAACAUAAAGUAAAUUCAAAGUAGUUUGCUAGCAUUUAAUCCUGACUAAUUUAAUUAACUAUGCAUCCUUGUAGUUUUUUCUGUUUUAUAGAUUAUGAAACUGAGACAAAGGUUACGAGUUGCUUAAGAUGCAUGGGAGGUAUUAAAGGUAGCCCAAAGCUUCAACUGUAAUACUAUUCAGACUUUUAGCUUGCAUUUUUUUUUUUUUAAA